GAUCCUGGCUCAGAACGAACGCUGGCGGCAGGCUUAACACAUGCAAGUCGAACGCCCCGCAAGGGGAGUGGCAGACGGGUGAGUAACACGUGGGAACAUGCCCAAAGGUACGGAAUAUUCUCGGGAAACUGGGAGCAAUACCGUAUGUGCCCGAAAGGGGAAAGAUUUAUCGCCUUUGGAUUGGCCCGCGUUGGAUUAGCUAGUUGGUGGGGUAAAAGCCUACCAAGGCGACGAUCCAUAGCUGGUCUGAGAGGACGACCAGCCACACUGGGACUGAGACACGGCCCAGACUCCUACGGGAGGCAGCAGUGGGGAAUCUUGGACAAUGGGCGCAAGCCUGAUCCAGCCAUGCCGCGUGAGUGAUGAAGGCCUUAGGGUUGUAAAGUCCUUUCAGAUGGGAAGAUAAUGACGGUACCAUCAGAAGAAGCCCCGGCUAACUCCGUG
RNAcentral lists this ribosomal RNA (444 nucleotides) under uncultured bacterium. Its description in RNAcentral is "bacterial SSU rRNA". It matches the Rfam family "Bacterial small subunit ribosomal RNA", at positions 15 to 507 of the family's 1533-position model. The record is from RNAcentral.